UUCUCUGAGGCUGGGCCAAGAUCUUGAUUCUGCCUGGCUUGUCCACGACCCAGUUGACGUUGUGGCAUUCUGAUUUAUCAGCUGUUCCUUUGAAACCGGUUGGUGGUGGAGAAAGAACCAAAGGAUAAAUGUGUUCAGCUAAUCUGUGAGUGCAAUAAAGAGCAAUAUCAUGUUCUUCUAGGGCCUGAGAAAGAUAAGGAAGAAUCGUGGAAACAAAGGAGUGCACAGAACAAAAGGACCAGACAGUAAUGAAGACAAGACAAGUAGCCCAAGUGGCCUCUCGGAAUGCCUCUGCUUCAGUUUCCUCAAAAAUUGCAUCCAGAACAACUUCAAAGCUGCUAAAUGAGAUAUUCCAGCCUCACAGACUCUUCCAUCUAGGGCUUCAGGUAAGUCAUGUACCUUCCUAUCACUCAGAGACUGGGCAAAAAAUGACACAGCUCUCCCAGAACUUGACCGUUAUCUCAAUUUUGUCAGGGACCCCUAACAAUUCUGUCACUCCCAGACAACAAGAAGUAAUUUUAAGAGCAAGAAGCUCACAUUUCCAAGAGGUGGGGCAUCUUCUGAUUGACUUAAUAAGGAGCUGAAUGGCCAGAAUAGCUAGGCAGGUGAGGAUUGUCAGGACUUCUGGGGAGAGAGAGAAACUGGGGUGGUGGGGGAAGAAUCUGAGAGAUGCCCCAGUCAGACAUAGAGGAAGUGGAUGCAUGGUACUGAGCAGAGGUAAUGAGCCAUGUGGCAGAACAUAGAUUAAUAUAGAUGGAUUAAUUUACAUUUUAAGAGCUAGUUGGGAACAAG
This is a long non-coding RNA of Myodes glareolus (Bank vole), 792 nucleotides long. RefSeq lists it as uncharacterized. The record is from RefSeq and is a predicted model, not a curated record. Lineage: Eukaryota; Metazoa; Chordata; Mammalia; Rodentia; Cricetidae.